Macaca mulatta (Rhesus monkey) is the source of this 1779-nucleotide long non-coding RNA. RefSeq lists it as uncharacterized. NCBI's taxonomy places the organism in Eukaryota, Metazoa, Chordata, Mammalia, Primates, Cercopithecidae. The record is from RefSeq and is a predicted model, not a curated record.
UCACCAUGUUAGCUAGGCUGGUCUCGAACUCCUGACCUCAAGUGAUCUGCCCGCCUCGGCUUUCUAAAGUGCUGGGAUUACAGGAGUGAGCCACCUGGCCUGCAUCUUCAUUUCUGAUGUGAAGAACAUGGGGUGGGGACUCUCUCCUAAAUAGCAUGGUACCAUUUAGAUUUUGGGUGAGCAGUGAAGAUUUGGGAAGAUCAGUGUCAGAUUCAAGAUUUUAAAAAUGACUCUGACAGGUGAGGGAAUAGUUAAUGUCUCUGGCAGAAUCUCAUUAAUCCUUCGAUGACUUACUAACAUGUGAUGUCACUUUUCAUUGGGUCUUUACCUUGUCCACCACUGAUUUAUCUCUUGUUGACACACCUACCCUUAUGGUGUUGAGAUUCACACAUAUGUAUGCAUAGCCUCCUCCAUAGGGUCAGAUCUCUUUUCCCUCUUGGGGUGGUGUGAAGGCAGACUUAUGGUCUUGCCUCAGUUAGUGUUCUUAAUUCUAUCUCAGUAGUUGGGGCAGCUUCUCUUUACUUGGGCUGUAUUUCAUUAAAUGUUUGGCCGCAGAACUGAAGUGUGGAUGCUGGUGAGUGGAGAGGAAACAGAGGGUGACCUGGCUUUUGCUUUGGGGCAGGCCUUUCCCUAACAUUUAGGAAACUUAACACUGUGGAUGGCCAAGUGGAUAAGUAGUCUCUGAAAUCAGUGGGGAGCUGCUGCUUCAACAAUGCAGCCAAUGAAUGCUGAUGGCCGAACUCACAAUUCACCCUAUUACUAACACAUCACUCGAUAAGGUAAACUGACUAUUUAGGAUGGCUGGGGCACAGGAGAAAUUAUAUAAAUGUUGAUUAAUUUGAGGCUUCCCUCCAAUUCUCUUUGUAAUAUCUUGUUUCCUUUACUAGCGAGUUCAGAACAUAAGCUACUCUUCACAGUAAACACAGGCCCAUGAAAACUUGACAGAAAAGGAGUGGAGGAUGUGAACUGGAUAGAUAUGGGAUAAAGUAAUAAAAGGUAGUUAACAUUUAGUCAGCGGUUAAUGUGUGCCAGACAUUGUAAUAACUCGCAUAUCCAAUUAAUAUCUGUCUAUUGCCACUGUCUAUUUUCACAUAAAAUAGAUACUAUUUUAUCUCCAUUUUAUACAAGAGAAAACUGAGUCUUAGAGAAACUUACUUGUCAGUGUCACACAGUUAGUAAGUGUCAGAGCCAGGAUGCAAACCUAAGUAUGUCUGAACUCUGAAUCCCAUGCUUUUUAUUCCCAUGAGAUGCUGAGAGCUCAGUAGAUAAAGGUGAGAGUGGGAGGUUAUGGGUAGAGAACAGCAGUAGGUUUGAGAAAGAAUAAGUGGUCAUCAGAGGGGUAAAGCAACAAGUAUAUCUUCUGGUGACAGUUUGAAACUACAUUGCAAAUAAUUUGUGUUACUAAUAAUUUGUUGUUACUAAUAACGGAAUAUUUGUGAGUGACUUACAUAAAAAUAAAUUGGAGAGAAUUCAGUAUUACUCUUAACUGGAUUCUAAUGUGUUUCUCUUUAAGUGAGAGGGAAGGAAGUUGAAUUACAGAUGGUUAACUCCCACCUGUAUGUCCUGUGCUGGUGAAGUGAUACCAGGUGUACAUCAAGUGUUAUGGGAAUGAGGUGGAAACAAGGGUCUUUGAAUAGAGGUGAGGGGAGCAAAUCUCUACUAAAGUAGACACAGAGAUCAGAAGAAACCAGGUCAAAGCUGCUUCCCACCAAGCUGUGUGGUCCCGGGUUCCCCCUCGCUCUGUCUCCUGCUGCCAUGUAAGACGUGCCUGGCUUCCCC